Molecule: ribosomal RNA, 649 nt
Filed under: uncultured Cytophagales bacterium
Lineage: Bacteria; Pseudomonadati; Bacteroidota; Sphingobacteriia; Sphingobacteriales
Description: bacterial SSU rRNA
Rfam family: Bacterial small subunit ribosomal RNA
Source: RNAcentral
UGAGUUUGAUCCUGGCUCAGGAUGAACGCUAGCGACAGGCCUAACACAUGCAAGUCGAGGGGUAACAGGGAAGCUUGCUUCCGCUGACGACCGGCGCACGGGUGCGUAACGCGUAUGAAACCUGCCUUAUACUGGGGGAUAGCCCGAAGAAAUCCGGAUUAAUACCCCAUAAUAUUAUUGAUUGGCAUCAAUUAAUAAUUAAAACUCCGGUGGUAUAAGAUGGUCAUGCGUGACAUUAGCUAGUUGGUAAGGUAACGGCUUACCAAGGCGACGAUGUCUAGGGGUUCUGAGAGGAAGGUCCCCCACACUGGUACUGAGACACGGACCAGACUCCUACGGGAGGCAGCAGUGAGGAAUAUUGGUCAAUGGACGCAAGUCUGAACCAGCCAUGUCGCGUGCAGGAAGACUGCCCUAUGGGUUGUAAACUGCUUUUAUAUGGGAAGAAAUAUAGUUACGUGUAAUUAUUUGCCGGUACCAUAUGAAUAAGCAUCGGCUAACUCCGUGCCAGCAGCCGCGGUAAUACGGAGGAUGCGAGCGUUAUCCGGAUUCAUUGGGUUUAAAGGGUGCGUAGGCGGAAUAUUAAGUCAGGGGUGAAAGUUUGUGGCUCAACUAUAAAAUUGCCUUUGAUACUGGUAUUCUUAAGUACAUU